Molecule: ribosomal RNA, 253 nt
Filed under: uncultured bacterium
Lineage: Bacteria
Description: partial 16S ribosomal RNA
Rfam family: Bacterial small subunit ribosomal RNA
Source: RNAcentral
UACAGAGGGGGCAAGCGUUGUUCGGAAUUACUGGGCGUAAAGGGCGCGUAGGCGGCCCGCUAAGUCGAACGUGAAAUCCCCGAGCUCAACUCGGGAACUGCGUCCGAUACUGGCGGGCUUGAAUCCGGGAGAGGGAUGCGGAAUUCCAGGUGUAGCGGUGAAAUGCGUAGAUAUCGUAAGGAAGACCAGUGGCGAAGGCGGGUCUCUGGACAGUUCCUGACGCUGAGGCACGAAGGCCAGGGGAGCAAACGGG